RNAcentral lists this ribosomal RNA (474 nucleotides) under uncultured bacterium. RNAcentral's name for it is "bacterial SSU rRNA". It matches the Rfam family "Bacterial small subunit ribosomal RNA", at positions 28 to 494 of the family's 1533-position model. The record is from RNAcentral.
GAUGAACGCUAGCGGCAGGCUUAACACAUGCAAGUCGAGGGGCAGCACGGGUAGCAAUACCUGGUGGCGACCGGCGCAAGGGUGCGUAACGCGUGAGCAACAUGCCCUAUACAGGGGGAUAAUCCAGGGAAACUUGGUCUAAUAUCCCAUAGUAUUUAGAGGAGGCAUCUUCUAUAAAUUAAAGCUUCGGUGGUAUAGGAUUGGCUCGCGUGACAUUAGCUAGAUGGUGAGGUAACGGCUCACCAUGGCAAUGAUGUCUAGGGGUUCUGAGAGGAAGGCCCCCCACACUGGGACUGAGACACGGCCCAGACUCCUACGGGAGGCAGCAGUGAGGAAUAUUGGACAAUGGAUGGAAAUCUGAUCCAGCCCAUGCCGCGUGCAGGAAGACAGCCCUAUGGGUUGUAAACUGCUUUUUAUAUGGGGAGCAAUAAGGUCUACGUGUAGACUGAUGAGAGUACCAUAUGAAUAAGCAUC